Molecule: ribosomal RNA, 253 nt
Filed under: uncultured bacterium
Lineage: Bacteria
Description: partial 16S ribosomal RNA
Rfam family: Bacterial small subunit ribosomal RNA
Source: RNAcentral
CACGUAGGGCGCAAGCGUUGUCCGGAAUUAUUGGGCGUAAAGAGCGUGUAGGCGGCCACUUAAGUCCUGCGUGAAAUCUUGCGGCUCAACCGCAAGCGGUCGUGGGAAACUGGGUGGCUAGAGUGCGGGAGAGGAGAGUGGAAUUCCUGGUGUAGCGGUGGAAUGCGCAGAUAUCAGGAAGAACACCCGUGGCGAAGGCGGCUCUCUGGAACGCAACUGACGCUGAGACGCGAAAGCGUGGGGAGCAAACAGG